AUAGCGUAUAUUAAAGUUGUUGCAGUUAAAAAGCUCGUAGUUGAACUUCAGACCUGGCCGGAUGGUCUGCCUAACGGUAUGUACUGUCUGGCUGGGCCUUACCUCUUGGUGAGCCGGCAUGCCCUUCACUGGGUGUGUUGGGGAACCAGGACUUUUACCUUGAGAAAAUUAGAGUGUUCAAAGCAGGCUUAUGCUCGAAUACAUUAGCAUGGAAUAAUAAAAUAGGACGUGCGGUUCUAUUUUGUUGGUUUCUAGAGUCGCCGUAAUGAUUAAUAGGGAUAGUUGGGGGCAUUAGUAUUCAGUUGCUAGAGGUGAAAUUCUUGGAUUUACGGAAGACUAACUACUG
This 346-nucleotide ribosomal RNA is filed under the name uncultured eukaryote. Its description in RNAcentral is "SSU rRNA". It matches the Rfam family "Eukaryotic small subunit ribosomal RNA", at positions 594 to 945 of the family's 1831-position model. The record is from RNAcentral.